Long non-coding RNA from Myxocyprinus asiaticus (Chinese sucker), 1578 nucleotides. RefSeq lists it as uncharacterized. The record is from RefSeq and is a predicted model, not a curated record. NCBI's taxonomy places the organism in Eukaryota, Metazoa, Chordata, Actinopteri, Cypriniformes, Catostomidae. The transcript is spliced from 9 exons.
UGGAAAAUAAAAAUGAAAAAGGUACAGCGUUUAUACUGCUGGCAAAUAUGUCCUCCAAAAAGGUUAAUCUGCACUAUGUUGUGCUCCAUUUCAUUGAGCAAAAUGAGGUUGAGGUGGCACCAUCCUUGUGGUUAGAGUGGAAUGAUGGGGUAGGAUUUAGUCCAUAUGUUUUUUUAUAAAACAUAAAUGAUAAACAUUAAACAAGGUCAACUACACACAUAUAUGAAUGAAAGAUAUUGUUUUGUUAUUGGCCUAAUUCAAAUGCUGGGACCAUGGUCAAAAAAUGUGCCAUACCAUUCAAACAGCUAUGGGCAAAAUAUGCAGUCAGAGUAUUUUCUGACACAGGUAAAGUACGCAAAAUAAUACCAAGGUUCUUUUUAAUCUCAACAAAUACCGGCAACCAUUCCUAAAAUAUAAAUUGUUUAUAUAAUGUAUAUUAAGCAAAAGUUGUGCUAUUUUGAGAACAGACAAUUACAACAUGGCAAGACAUCGGGCCCAAACAGCACUGGAAACCUCUCAGGUUGAGGACUCUGAUGGAAAUAGUGUACGAAAGAUCAUCCCACCAAGACGAUUUAGAGAAGAAGAAUUCCAGCCCAGCAAGCCCAGAAGGGCAGAACAGACACAACAUUUUCAAGAGGACAGUGAAUGAUCUCAAGAUGAGACUUCCAGUUUGAGAGCGAAGAAAAUAAACGGUCUAGAUCAACAGCAAUUGCACCUGAGUAAAUAUUCAAGUUUUUGAGAGUUUGGAGAGGAGAAUAAUGCUGAAACGAGACCAAAUCCAGGACAACAUCACAGCAGCGGUCGGAACAAUGCAGCAGUCAAUGAGCCAGCCAAGCACCUCUGUCUCUGAUCUUACAGAGCUGCUAGAGGAGCCUUGUAAGACUGUGGAGGAAUUAGAAGAGCUGUGUAAUAAGCUGAAAGAUCCUGACUUUUGAAAGAAGAUGAUUCGUUAUCUGUGUCUUCAGAGUGGAGGCAGCUUGGGAGGUGGAAUUAGGAGGAUGCUGAAAAAAAUUGGAGAUAACUCCUUAUGGGGACGGUACAGUUACAAAGGGAGAAACGGAAAACUUAAAUUUCAGUAAAUUUAAAAACUUGCCACUAAUGACUAAUAAUGUGUCUGUGUCAAUCCCCAAGAUCUCAAAAAUGAUGUGAAAUGUGAAUAGGUUGUAAAUAAGAAUGUACAUUGUAAAUGUAGAAGUUGUUAGUUCUCAUUACAUAAAUAUUCAUAGCAGUUAAUGGUCUAUUUUGACAAGAUUAAUGUUUGAUGCUUUUGGAAUAGAACUUUCUACAUCUGAGUUCUAGUUUUAAUAACUUUGAUCUCUGUAUUGAAUCAAGGUACCUGCAGUAAGGCAAACCCACACCAAAAAUCCCAGAGUGUGGAGGAAAUGAUUGCUGUGACCCUAAAACAUGCCCCAGAUCGUGCAAAAACAGCUAAUCAGAUUAGAAGCCAAUGGGCAGAAUUGCCAUCGGAAUAACCUCACAGCUGACAACCAGAGACACACACACACAAUUGCUAUAAGCGUGUUUGCCUGACACACACACACACACACACACACACACAGAAAGAGCACAGCACCUUUA